This is a long non-coding RNA of Meriones unguiculatus (Mongolian gerbil), 1918 nucleotides long. RefSeq lists it as uncharacterized. The transcript is spliced from 3 exons. The record is from RefSeq and is a predicted model, not a curated record. Lineage: Eukaryota; Metazoa; Chordata; Mammalia; Rodentia; Muridae.
GGUUGGCAGCCUUCAGACGCUCAAGGGAAACAGGGCAAAAAUUAGCUUCUCAUCACUAUUGGUCAGACGUAAGCAUCCUGUGACUUGAAUACACCCAGGGGCACUAUCAGGGCCUGGGCUACAGCCCUGACGAGGUGGCUAGGCACAGUCCCCCUCCCAUGACCCUAGCAUAGUGCCUGUGUUUGUGAAGGGUAAUUAAUAUUUCGCUAAGACACCUCCUGUAUCCUUCUGGGCUUUAGCUGGUGAUGGAGUAGAGUCACACGGCCCCUCAGUAUGGUCACCACCAUGGGAGAACUGACAUAGACUUCAACCAGCCUUCUUCAGAAUGGCAAUGAGAAACUGUGCUCAUUCUCAGAACAAAUACAUAAUCUAGCCCAGAUGAACCUGUGUCUUACCUUUGUAACCCAAAGAAGUCUGAAAUUCAAGGAAUGCAGGCCUGAAGACUAUGAUGUAGCUUGGGCUGUUUGACCAGUGACGCCCAGAGAUAUGCCUGUGUCUGCCUUCCCAGCAGUGGGAAUACAAGUCUCUGCUGCCACACCCAGCUUUUUAUAAAUGUGGAGAUCAAAUGUGGGUUCUCGUAAGAGAAGCAGUCCCUUACAAGUGUCUCCCCAGCCACCUUGAUGUCCUCAAGGACCCACGUUACAACAUAUUCACUUAAAUAAUCUGAGGUCAUUUCCCAGGCUCUUGGCUGUGGUCCUAUUCCUGACACAAAACACUUGUGAUUUUACAGGAGUAUGAGUGGUCAGGCUCCCGAGGCAGCAGCCUAGAUAAUCUGUUCCCUGUCUUGCGGGUUAUUUGUCUUUCACCGGUACACACAGUGCCCCUCCAUUCACCCCAGAGGAGGCUGUUUCAGCCUUCCCAUCACUGUGGGUAGAGGAUGGCUGCCCUUGGCAUCACAGGGUACCAACCCACGCAGCUUGCUUUCUUCCAUUUCGGCAGUUGCUUUUCUCUCCCAGGAAGGCUGGUCUCUUCCUUAUCUGCAUUAUUAUUUUCCUUUAAAAGCACACACACACCACCACCACCACCACCACCACCACCAACAACAACAACAACAACAACAAACACUAUUUCUAGACUUAACGCAAAUGAAACACACUUCUCCCAAGGAGCCUCAUGCAGAAUGCCAGUACUGUCUCUGAACCACACAUUUUAUUAUUACCCUAAAUCAUUUUUCCAAGUCUCAAUUGAUUCAACCAUAUAAAGAAUUUUUGUAAAAGGGAAGGACAAAGGGGCUUCUCGGAAUGAUGUUCUUCCCCUUUAACAUUCAUCCAUUCCCUUGGUAAAGAAUUAUCCUGGAACUGACCUAUCUCUAUGAAACCAAAGGAAGUGAAGAAGUCUAAAACAACACUCAAGGUGGUUAUUUGCAAAAAUACCCUUGGAAAGUCAUGCUAGAACAGUUCUAAAAUAUGGGUCAGAUCAGUUGCAUGAACACCUAAGACAGCACUUUCAGGCACUAAAUGCUGCUCAUAAAAUAUUAAGAGGCAUUUAAAGUGGUUUUAAGGCUUAGUACAAAUGAAAAAUUGAAAAAUAAUCCAAAUGGUAACAUAAAUCUAAUUUCUAUAUUUAGUGUUGAAAAAAAAAAUCACAGAAAUCCCUUGGCUAAUGACAGUGGAAAUUUAGUUUUGGGGUCCUGAAUGUUGAAGUUCCUGUAGUGUUAAAUUGCUCAAACGAGGUCAAGAACUUUCUGGAAUUAAACAACAGCAACAACAAAACAAAACCGGAGGGAAAAUGAUAUUAUGACUGUUUUGUCAUUGUACCCGCAGUAUAACUUAGGAUAUUUAUAUGUUAAUUAGGCUCUUUCUUUGAUCUGAUUUAAUAGAUGAGGAAGUUCUUUAUUUGAUCACUUGCCAAGUGAGGUCAAUUAGUUUGUGUACUUCUGACUUUUGUUUUUCAUUUAAAAAAAUUAAAAUAUACCAUU